UACGGAGGGUGCAAGCGUUAAUCGGAAUUACUGGGCGUAAAGGGUGCGCAGGCGGUUCUGCAAGUCAGGCGUGAAAUCCCCGGGCUUAACCUGGGAAUGGCGCUUGAAACUACGGGACUAGAGUAUGGCAGAGGGAGGUGGAAUUCCACGUGUAGCGGUGAAAUGCGUAGAGAUGUGGAGGAACACCGAUGGCGAAGGCAGCCUCCUGGGAUAACACUGACGCUCAUGCACGAAAGCGUGGGGAGCAAACAGG
This 253-nucleotide ribosomal RNA is filed under the name uncultured bacterium. Its description in RNAcentral is "partial 16S ribosomal RNA". It matches the Rfam family "Bacterial small subunit ribosomal RNA", at positions 524 to 776 of the family's 1533-position model. The record is from RNAcentral.